RNAcentral lists this unclassified non-coding RNA (407 nucleotides) under Hevea brasiliensis (rubber tree). The record is from RNAcentral. Lineage: Eukaryota; Viridiplantae; Streptophyta; Magnoliopsida; Malpighiales; Euphorbiaceae.
AGGCAUCGCCUCACCGCCCCAAUUGCCUCUCGCCUCCAUGGUCUCGGGCGCUCACCUGUUAUCACUUGCCUUGCCUUAGCCAGGCAAGGCGCAAGGGGCUCACCUUGCCCAAUGUCUUUCUCCACCUUUAACGACAUUGCCACUAGUCCCUCUCUACUUCAAUCUCCCAUAACAACAGCAGCAACAACCAGGCAAGGAAUUCCUUAGCGGUCCACCACCACCACCACCAAUGAUGUGACAACCUUUGGCUUCUUCAACUACACACAAUCCCACAAAUUAUCACCAUCCCUCCGCCUAUGGCCCUCCCCCACUCCUUAUGAAGGAAAGACUGGUGUGGGUGUGAGCAUGCAUGAAUGGUCAAUUUGAUGUCGGUUUCUACUCUGCCUACCUUGUAGUGGAAAGGUGAU